RNAcentral lists this ribosomal RNA (459 nucleotides) under uncultured Stenotrophomonas sp. RNAcentral's name for it is "bacterial SSU rRNA". It matches the Rfam family "Bacterial small subunit ribosomal RNA", at positions 191 to 631 of the family's 1533-position model. The record is from RNAcentral. Lineage: Bacteria; Pseudomonadati; Pseudomonadota; Gammaproteobacteria; Lysobacterales; Lysobacteraceae.
GACCGAGAGGUGAAAGUGGGGGACCGCAAGGCCUCACGCGAUUGGAUGAGCCGAUGCCGGAUUAGCUAGUUGGUGGGGUAAAGGCCCACCAAGGCGACGAUCCGUAGCUGGUCUGAGAGGAUGAUCAGCCACACUGGGACUGAGACACGGCCCAGACUCCUACGGGAGGCAGCAGUGGGGAAUAUUGGACAAUGGGCGCAAGCCUGAUCCAGCCAUGCCGCGUGUGUGAAGAAGGCCUUCGGGUUGUAAAGCACUUUCGUUCGGGAAGAAAUCGUGCGGAUUAAUACUUCGUACGGAUGACGGUACCGAAAGAAUAAGCACCGGCUAACUUCGUGCCAGCAGCCGCGGUAAUACGAAGGGUGCAAGCGUUACUCGGAAUCACUGGGCGUAAAGCGUGCGUAGGCGGUUCGUUAAGUCUGCUGUGAAAGCCCUGGGCUCAACCUGGGAACUGCAGUGGAU